UGUAAAACCUAACAGUUGUACUAGCUCAUAACUAAUGAGGUCAUUACAGUCAAAUGUCCUUAUGCAGUUGAACAAACUAUUAAUUAUUGAGCUCUGUUGACAUUUAUGCCACUUUAAUUGAAUAGGGCUCAAAAUUUGAUAGUUAAUUUGUGUGGAGCACUCAAAAAGUUUAGGAGUAGUGGCAUGACGUCAUGACGUGGUGGGUGGGUCUUAUCUCUGCCUCAGGAAAGCUGAGUCAGCCAUCUUGAAUUUGCCUUCAUGCGGAGAAGUUUUCAUGGAAGUUUUUACAGUUUAAUUUGUUUUUAUUCAUUUGCAAUGCAUUUUUUAUCCCCUCACUUCAAACCAAGACCUCAGUUUUUUCAUCUUUGACCUGCCGUCAUUUCAGCGCCGUCUUAUCAGCCCUGAUUUGGCUCGAGUGUUUGGUUGUGAGAUGAUCAUCUAGGAAUCUUUUUUAAAAGUUCAGAUAUUGGACUUGAGUGCUACAGAGAGUCAGCGUUUCACCAUCAGACAGUCGCAAUAGAGUUUCACCGAAUCAACAACAUUAACCUGCGGAAUUAAUUCUACAAGGAGCUGGACAGACACACGCCUAAACUCAUCACCUUGUUCAGAGAC
This is a non-coding RNA of Pimephales promelas (fathead minnow), 612 nucleotides long. NCBI's taxonomy places the organism in Eukaryota, Metazoa, Chordata, Actinopteri, Cypriniformes, Leuciscidae. The record is from RefSeq and is a predicted model, not a curated record.